This 61-nucleotide microRNA precursor is filed under the name Pristionchus pacificus. RNAcentral's name for it is "mir-8364 microRNA precursor family". It matches the Rfam family "mir-8364 microRNA precursor family". The record is from Rfam by way of RNAcentral. Lineage: Eukaryota; Metazoa; Nematoda; Chromadorea; Rhabditida; Neodiplogasteridae.
UCUUCAAUUCACGUACUCUCUCACCGGUCAGAGUGACGAGAGAGUGUGUGAAAUGAAGAGA